Long non-coding RNA from Hordeum vulgare subsp. vulgare (domesticated barley), 1494 nucleotides. RefSeq lists it as uncharacterized. Lineage: Eukaryota; Viridiplantae; Streptophyta; Magnoliopsida; Poales; Poaceae. The transcript has 4 exons. The record is from RefSeq and is a predicted model, not a curated record.
CUAUUUUUCUGUGAAAAAAAUCCCUCCCGUUCCCCCGAAUUAGUCCUGCGUGAUCCCUUUUUCUGCGCCGUCCUGCGCGGGUUCCCCGCUGGCGGCUGGCCGCACCUUACCACCCCCGUCCGGCCGUCCUCCGCCCAGGUAGACAGGAAGAAGCGAGGAGGGUCGUAUCCGACUGCGGCACAUGGAGAGGUGGACUAGGGGGACGCAUCUCCCGGCGAGCACGGGAAUACUACUAUGAUUCAGACAGGGUGACGGGCCGCCGCCGGCGCCGCCUGAGUACAGAGCCUACAUCGCCCACGGUCGGCGGUCAGUUUCAUGCCCAUCGCCACCGGCGACCUCUCGGGAAACGGGCAGACGGCGAGAGUUUAGGACACCACUAAAACCUGGGCUUCUCCUUAUCCACAUCCGGGCGGUUGGCUCUGCUUCUUCUCCACUUGCUGCUGCUGUUGGAGCACUGAACGCUUGGUCUUGGACAUCACAGCCACCCCACCAUUACCUUGGACGCUACUUCAAAUCCUGGCGGCACAAAAUUUUAGUGGAAACAUAAGGAAAUUUGCAAGCGGGGAUUAGAAGAAUUAUUUUGAACUGAAUGAAGAAUCUAUGCACCUUUUAGCGAACUUUUAUAUGCUUGCAUAGUUUUUGCUCUUCGACAAUGAACCUUGUAAAAUUUCAAAAAAUUCUUACUAAGUUAAUUAAGCUUCAUGUAUGACAGAUUUUCAUUGGGAAUAGGUACACUUUUGUCAAAGAAGUAUCAUGUCAGAUUUACCAUCUUGUAAAAUCAACUGUGAUGGGGCGUUCUCUGCACCUGAGGGCACUGGUGGUGGUGGCUGGGGCUUCGUCAUACACGACUUGCCGGGAGAUGUGAGAGGCUCUGGAGCGGGGCGCCUUCGACAUGUAGCAACACACCCCUUUAUUUUCUGAAACAUUGACGGGUGUGGCAACACACCCCUUUAUGUCCUAGUGUCUACUGUUAGGAAACUUCUUGCAAGUACUUUGGUUAGGUACUAGAAAGCAUGCGCGUGCACACACACACACACACAUGCCCACAGCAACAAGCACGCACAUACAACACAACACAGAUGCUCUGCUCCUGAUUUGUCAAUAGUAUGCUGAUGCUUUGCUUUGAUCUGCUCUAACACUAACUUUUUUGUCAAUAGUAAGGGAAGUCGAAGUUUCUGAUUGGUGAUGCUUUUGCUUCAGGAUACUUAAUUUCCUCGCAUUGACCUUUUAUUCAAAAGAAGGAUAAUCGAGUUGCAGCUGAAUUCUCCGGUUGGAUCAAGAAGCAAAUACAAUUAGAAAAUUUUACUUAGAAAUAACCGUAGUUUACAUUGAUAGAUGGAAACAAUGUAAUAUCAUGCAGAAGUUGUUUUUUAUUUGUUUGAAUUGUGCAAAUGCUAUGGUGUAAUAUUCUCCAUAGACAUGUUCACUGUAGUCAAAAUAUAUGAAUGAUAUUUUGCGGUACCAGUAAUAUUGGUAUUUGUUUAUUGUAAUGCA